CCUAUGGCUGGGUCUAAACUCUUUCACUCAUUCCUAACCUCUUGUGUUAAUUAUUGCCAUGAUAGUGGCUGCUUUGGUAACAUUCUUGACCUGUAAUGAUGAGCGCUCUUGGAGGUAGGCAAAAGGACUUGACAGUGUUGAAAAUGAGUGGAGAAAUGUAUUUUCAUGGCCACCUCCUGAAGAUCUGACCACAGCUGCAGAUGCAGGACAGAAGAAACCUAAGAAACUUUUAUCUCAUUAUUAUGUAAUCUGAAUGCUGCCUCCAGAAAGCAGAACACCGGAGCUGGUGCUGAAGAGCUGUCCCAGGAGCCAGCCAACCCACUUGGAGCGUAUGUGUCCUCGUGUCUCCUCUCAGCUGCUGUCAGCAUCUCCAGAGCCCUAAGAGAAAGGUGAUGUGGCAAAGAACAGGAAAAAUGAGGGCUCCUUUUUCAAAAUCCAGUUUGAUCUUCAGAGAUAUCAGUGACAAAAUAAUAACAGCAUCUUCCAAUUUGUUUACUAAAUUAAUAUUAUAUAGAUACCGUUGUGCAGUGCCAGCUUUUUGUCCUGAGUUGGUCUUCAGUGAAUAAGGAGAAUUCUCAGAAGUCCAACCAGAGGACUUGUGCUUUGAUAAUCUGGUCUGCUGUGUUCCCCAUCUCUCCUUCCCUCUGUAAUCAGACCAUCGGUCACUACAAAGGAUCAAAAUUGCCAUGUUUAAAUACUACUCUCCUUGUGAGAAACUAACAUAUGAUCAAAGCUUAACAGCAUGAAAUGCAUUUCUUGUUUUUGCAGUAAACCUUCACGUCCCUUGUUGUUGAUCCAAGUUCAUGGAGGUUUAUUUUCAAAGCAAAUCUCUUGUUUUCGUUCCACCAGAGAGCUGUUACAAAGCCAACUAUUGUUACUGUAGAAUAUAACUAUAUUUUUUUUAGUCUAACUGUUCAAGGAAAAUGCCUUUCAUCAGGUAAAAAGUCAUUGCAUAUAUGCAUUAUGCAGACAUGUCUUGGACACAACAAACAGUUAAUGGUUUUUAAUUAAAUGGAGUGAGACAAAGCACUCAAGGAGUGACCCAAGGAUUACUUUUGGAAGAAGUUUCUCUCAUGACUAAUAGUGCCUACAAAUAAGAUGGGGUAUUACAAUAAAAUUCUACUGCUGACAAAAAUAUUAACAGUAAACGAUGACAGAGCUUUCAUCUGGGACUAGGAGAACAUCUGGAAUGUAUUAAGACUGUAAAAUUUCCCUUUAAGUAUGGAUUGCUAAAGUUAAAACCAGCCACCCAGAAACUAUGGCACUCAGAGUAACUCAAUAUUUUUUUUCAUUAAAAAUUACUUAAAGUGAUUUACAUCUUUCCUUGGUUGACACUGUGAUGUUCUGCUUGUCCAGACUGUGAGCCAUGAAAAUAUGUAUGUGAUGAGAAAGAAUGAAGAAAAAAGUUCUCAGAUCUGUCCUGUGUUCAUCUGGAAAGCAACUCUGGUUCCAGGCAUCCUUCUGUAAGGCAAUCAGUCAGAUGCUCUUUGCAACCAUUCUGUGCAGAUACCCACUGCUUAUUAAUACCAUGUGUGAAGCUGAUGCAUCACGUAUCUAGAGAUGCAGUGUAAGCACCAGAUACUGACAGAGAUAAACAGAAGAGAUGUGGGGGGUGCUGGGAGAUCAUUCUAGAAGACAAGUAAGUUUGCCUUAAACAAAAAGGCAGUGUGCUAAAAGAAGGACGAGAUUGUAGCAAGGUUCCUAUUUCCCAUCCUCCUUCUUCCCUGUUGCCAGUUCUCGUGACAUCUCUCACUGCAAUCCUGUCUUAAUUUAGACUGAGUUCCCGGAGACAGAAAUUAUCCUGUAACUUGUAUAUAUUGCAUGCAGUACAAGAAGUGCUCAUCUCAACUGGAUACUCAGAUGGUGCCUAGGAGGCAGCUACAGCAUAAAAAUGGAAGCUGAAUGUCUUUGUGGCUCAACUCCAGAGGUGCUAUUGUUUUUGGCCACAGUGGAAGCUCCCAGAAGGCAAGCCAAGGUCUGUAGAACAAACUAAGGGAGGAGGGCUGGGUGCUGCCCUUCCUGUCCUUGGCAAACUGGACUGAAGCCCUCAAAGCCCCUCUAAGCCAGAUUCCUUCCACCUCCCAGGAGGCUCCAGGUCAUGAAGAUUCAGCACUGAUGGUCCAAGCUGCCUCUGCUGGGAAAGAGAUAGAGAGAGGACUCGAGGAAUCACCCACCUCUCCUAAGAGAAGAGUGCAAAUCAUCUUCAGAAGUGUCCAUUCUUUCUGCACUUGCACUAAUAGUAAUGGGAAUACUUGAGAAGGACUAGUUACUAAUCACUUUCAACAACUAGUGUAAGGCAAGAUACAGCCCUUCACUGUGUUGAGAAAUCAGCCCUGCCAAAGAGCUUUCCACCCCUACCCAUCCCACCCUGAGAAGCUUCCUGGCAGUUCCUGGAGGACACUCAGAGCUAUGCAUGCAGCAGACAGCCCCCUGCUGCUGUUGGCACAGCAGUGGUGGGUCCUGGUCCCCCUCAGCGCUGUGCAUCCUGUGGUGUAAGACAUGCACAAAUGCAGAACAGAAAGACAGGCCAGAAUAGUGAGCCAGCUCACUAGGUGGCCUUGGUAAGUGUCUGAUGCCUCAGCUGAGUAUGUAUUUAUUUCUACUUACACAUGUUUUGCUUAGAAUAGGGCAGGGGACCUGGACAUCUCUGCCAUCGGUCACAAAGCUGCAACGUUUAGGAAGAAGAGAUAAAUCUUCUCUCUCUCUCUCUUCCUACCAUCCUUCAGCUCUUUCCUCUAACCAGGCAUUUGUGUGGCUGAAAAACUAAAAGUAGCUGCAGACAUAGGACUUUUUCAGAAGUUCUGCAAGGAGCAGGCAUAUAUCCACUGAGAUCCUCACAGACCUGCAGCAUGCAGCAUCCGAACUCUGAUGAGAUAGUGGAUACUUCUGUGGCGUUUAAGAGGGAAUUUCAAAAUGCCAGCCUGUAGUGUUGAGAAGACAACGUAAUGUGGACACUUGAAGAUCUGAACUUCUUGACCUGCCCCACAACUCAUCUUCCCAAGGAGCUGUUGAACAUUAACAAAAAAAAUAAUAUAGAACGAAGAGAAAAUCUAAUUCUGGAAAAAUUCUGCAAGGCCAAUACAGACAUAUUUUGUGCUGAGCACCGAUACUCAUCCAUUUUUGGGCAUGGUAGUAAUAGGGUGGCAUGCGUUAUGCAGGAGGCAAAGUAGGGGCUGGAAUAAGCUGCUUAUGUCCUCAAAUUUUUCCUCCUAUCAGUAAGACAUUGCUCCUAAAGGCAAUGAAGGAAACCUGCCAAUUACAACAGCUAAAACCAACACCCUGAAAAGCAUAAUAUUUAGAGAACGAUCUGUGUGGUGGAGCCAGCUAGUGCCAGCUGCCAAGUCUGCAGCCGCAAGAGGCUGGAGCAGCGGGAGGUCUCCAGGAGAGCAGGCCUUGGUGGCUCAGCCCAGGGCAGCCCUCUGUUAUGAGCUGGGCACCGAGCAGAGCAGCUGCGCACCCAAGGGCCCAGACUGCCAGCCCCACAUCUCAUGGAGCUUAGCAAGACCCUGUCACUGGACAGGCCUUCUCGCAGGGUGGCAGCUCCUUCUGGUGCUACAGCAGUGACACAGUUUGCUGUACCUCAGCAAAACAGGACUUGCUUGUUUCUUUCCCAAUCCAGAGAGUCAUAAAACAGCUUUAACUAACCCCACAGCAAGUAAUUCCUAAGAGGUCUCCUGAAUUUCUCUGUAUGGCCCAUUCUCCCCAUUUGCUCCUGGCCGCCAUUGCAAUUGCCACAGGCCCCUCUUCUUGCAGCUGUUCUGCACGCUGCCUGCUGUCCGUUGCCGGCAUUUUCCUCUCCAUGCCAGGACAGCGCUGCGGCUCACUGUAACAAUAUUUCCUCAUAAGGCUUUGCUUAAAAUUACAGAGCUUCUAUUUGUUGGUGCUGGGUGGUGGCAUGUGAGGCUGUACAAAAGAAAACAAAUGUUUGAGAUGCUUUUGAAGGUGCUGUCAUGAGACAAAGCAGGGCACUUGGGCCUGACAUUAAUACAUUUCCUUGUGCUUGGAUAGAGCAGAGCCUGUUCAGUCUCUGCAACAAUCCUCCCCUGGGAAGUUUCCAUAGCCUCUCCUCCUGCUCUGCUGGCCUCCAGGGCUGUGCUCCUUGAGGAGAGAGCUGGCAGCUCGCCCUCACCUUGCCAAGAGGCUGACUGGCCACUGGCACCUUGCAAAAGCAAUUCCUUCAGCCCUGUUUGUCAUGCAGGUGAGACAGCUGGGAAUGCCAAGAGGACCAGGAAGCAGAGGAAGGGGUGAGGAAUCAGCCCCUGCAUCUAAUUCAGCUUGCUUUCUCCUUAUCCAGCCUGGUUUGGAAGCAGAACUUAAAAUCUGUUUGUUUAGGAGGUUUGUUAUAGUUUUGGAAGCUUACACUAGAGUUACACAGAGCAGCAGGGCAGAGGGUAAAACAAUAUUUUAUUCUGAAGUUAAAGCACUUUCACAAGGGUAAAAUAAGUAGGUUGUGCUGGCUGGGACUCAUUCAAGUGCAGUGUCCUGUGCUGCAGGAGCUGAGACCUUCCUCAGUCCUGCUCUAAAUGUGGGCACACUGCACCCAUGGGUGAUAGAAUCCCUGGGGCUCUUCUCUGCUUAUCAUUUGGGAUCCCUUGUGAUUGCUUCUGGAAAGAAAGGGAUUAAUUUAAUGGCCAGCCAAAUUUGGGCAUAGUGUCUGUAUUAAAGUCCUCAGAAUACAAAACUUUCUAUCUUGACCUAAGAAAUUUACUACUAUCCAUCAGCAAUCCCUGGAAAGAUUAUGCCUUCUGGUACCUUCAGGUGGCUGAUCAGCUGAUUAAAUGUGGUGAAAUACUGGCAUCUGUGGGUAUGACACCGGUAACAGAGCAGUACCCAGGUAUUUAGGCAGAGACAUCUUUCAAAGUUGGAAAUGUUUGCUAGUUUUGUGACCGACUGUGCUCUUCUUCUUGGAAAUAAGAAAAACUCCCCCGGAGUUUUAGUUGUGGUGUUGAAAUUUCUUGUUUAACUUUCUUGUUUUUCCCUUCUGAAACUUCCAUACUAAUUCCCCAUGGAAAUAAGAUGUGCAAAGGAAAUUUAUUUGGAGGAAAUUCAUAGGCAAGUGAGGUCCCAGGAGGUGCAAAGACUUGUCCUAAGCCCUGCAGGAAGCUAGCUGCACACUGUAGAA
Lagopus muta (rock ptarmigan) is the source of this 5122-nucleotide long non-coding RNA. RefSeq lists it as uncharacterized. NCBI's taxonomy places the organism in Eukaryota, Metazoa, Chordata, Aves, Galliformes, Phasianidae. The record is from RefSeq and is a predicted model, not a curated record. The transcript is spliced from 3 exons.